AUGGCACCCCCGGCAGGAUCAACCAAGAUUCAUGUUGAUGGCGGAUGUCGCUCGUGGGGAGGCACGACAGCAGCAGUGUGUCGAGACAAUCAUGGUAACUACCUUGGUAGCUCUGCAAUUGUACUCCAUGGCAGCACAGACCCGGCCACACUUGAGACAAUUGCGUGCCGGGAAGCGCUAGCACUAGCGGAGGACCUGAAUAUCCAGCGGAUAAUCAUCUCAUCUGAUUCAAAGCAAGUAGUAGGCGAUAUAAAUUCUGAAAACCUGGUAAGAUAUGGUACGGUUAUCAAGGAGAUUCAUAGUAGAGCUCUUCAUUUUAUGUGUAAUUUCAUGUAUGAAAGCCGCAGAUGUAACAUUGAGGCUCAUAGUUUAGCAAAACAUGCAUUCUCUUCAGGCCCGGGAUGCCAUGUGUGGCUAGGCCAGUCCUACAGUCCAAUAUGUAUACCACAAACAUUGGCUUUUGAUCAUUAA
This 471-nucleotide ribosomal RNA is filed under the name Triticum aestivum (bread wheat). RNAcentral's name for it is "partial small subunit ribosomal RNA". Lineage: Eukaryota; Viridiplantae; Streptophyta; Magnoliopsida; Poales; Poaceae. The record is from RNAcentral.